RNAcentral lists this ribosomal RNA (621 nucleotides) under Streptomyces montanus. Its description in RNAcentral is "Streptomyces sp. NEAU-C151 partial 23S ribosomal RNA". It matches the Rfam family "Bacterial large subunit ribosomal RNA", at positions 590 to 1209 of the family's 2925-position model. Lineage: Bacteria; Bacillati; Actinomycetota; Actinomycetes; Kitasatosporales; Streptomycetaceae. The record is from RNAcentral.
GUCGUGACUGCGUGCCUUUUGAAGAAUGAGCCUGCGAGUUUGCGGUGUGUUGCGAGGUUAACCCGUGUGGGGGAGCCGUAGCGAAAGCGAGUCCGAAUAGGGCGAUGUAGUAGCGCGCUCAAGACCCGAAGCGGAGUGAUCUAGCCAUGGGCAGGCUGAAGCGCGGGUAAGACCGUGUGGAGGGCCGAACCCACCAGGGUUGAAAACCUGGGGGAUGACCUGUGGUUAGGGGUGAAAGGCCAAUCAAACUCCGUGAUAGCUGGUUCUCCCCGAAAUGCAUUUAGGUGCAGCGUCGUGUGUUUCUUGCCGGAGGUAGAGCACUGGAUAGGCGAUGGGCCCUACCGGGUUACUGACCUUAGCCAAACUCCGAAUGCCGGUAAGUGAGAGCGCGGCAGUGAGACUGUGGGGGAUAAGCUCCAUGGUCGAGAGGGAAACAGCCCAGAGCAUCGACUAAGGCCCCUAAGCGUACGCUAAGUGGGAAAGGAUGUGGAGUCGCAGAGACAACCAGGAGGUUGGCUUAGAAGCAGCCACCCUUGAAAGAGUGCGUAAUAGCUCACUGGUCAAGUGAUUCCGCGCCGACAAUGUAGCGGGGCUCAAGCGUACCGCCGAAGUCGUGUCAUU